CUUUCCCCUCUUAGAUUUUUGUCAAUCCUUUCAUAACACAAAAACAGGAUAAAUUUGUUUGAGGGUUUUUGUUGUUUUUUUUUUUUAAUUUUAUUUUGUCUAAACAGUGGAUAUAUACCAACAAAAGAAGAUUGCAUGGUAUUUACUUAACCUCAACAUCUUUAUCAUCUUUUUCUUCCUUCACCACUAUGAAAAAACUCAGUCAUUCCUUUUGCAGAGUAUGCAUCUGUUGGUAGGCACUUGGUGAAGAAGAUUACAUUUUAAGUCUUUACAUUUCAUGAGUGCAAUACUGCAUGCUUAAAAACCAUAUCUUUGAUAUUUAAUGGUGUCAUUUAACACCUGAAUGGGCCACAGCCAGGAAUAAAAUUUACUUCUGUUUGACUAACAGGUUUGAUUUUGCCAGGAGUGUGACCAGAUAAAUAGAAGGUGAUUAAAAUUAAUGAAGCUGUGAAAACCUUGAAAGCCUCAGCUAAACAGAGAAUUUUUAAGCCUGGUGAGUUCUCAAGUCUUAAGAGGGCUGAAUGAAAUUCUUACCAAUUUCUUCACACUAGUACAUGCAAAGACAAAACAGCUGAGUUCCAUUGCCAUGCACUUUUCCUGUAUUGAAGACAACAAUCUUUUUCCCCCUCAGGUUUCACACUAAAAUGAAACAAUCAACUCCCUAGAAUGAAAUGCUGUCAGCUUUCAAGCUGGAGUUUCAUCUUGGAUAUGAGACUGUUCUACGACCCAUGCAGCCCCACUGUGCAAAUGGGCUGAAAUCGUGUUGUCUCCUCUGGGGUUUUCUGUAGGAAAUUCAUACCACUUCCUCAUAGUUUAAAAGCUGGAGAUGAUGAAAUGGGAUUGUCUGACCUCCUGGAAGUCUCACUACUGGCUGUCCAUUAACAUACACCUUUUGCAGCAGGCUACUUUCUCAGACAUUCAUAUUAUCGGGGCAGAGAAGGUCGUUUCCUUCUGCACUCAGAUUCCAAAUGAGAGCCAGGUUUGGAGCCUUUUGGAUUCCUCCUGGGGGAAUCUGCUCCUACAGCAAAUACAGAAAACUUUCAAGAAAAACUGGAGCCUGCAGUUCUUCACUGCGAGACAGAUCAGUCUUGAUAAGCUGAGGAAUAAGAAGGAUGAUUAUCCCUUCUUCUAUUCACAUGCAACAUUAAAUACUCUCAGUUUAAACAUGCCUGAAUGUUUUCUUACCAAGAAGUGAGUCAUCUUCACUGUUUUCUACUAACCAUUAACCAAUGCAUGAUCUGGAAGAUCACACUGCUAGUGGCUGUGGCUGAACAAGGCAGCUAACCCAUUUUGGUCUCAAGGAUGUGUUUGGGUCCGCUCCUGAAAAGCAGCUCAUGGUCACUGGAAUAUGCAAUAUAUAUGUAUAGUAAUGGACAGGUCAAUAUCACUAUAGAAAGGUGGCACAGCAGAGGGGCUCAGUUCCUCUGAAGAAACGGUUGCUGAGUAAAUGGCAUGAGCUGGUGUUCUCCAAGUGGGGACAUCCUACUCUUAAACUCCAAUAUUUAUUCAGCUUGGUUCAGCUUCAGAGUGUGGAUUUUGCAUUAGAACACUUGCUAAGCAGAUCUUUUCAAAGUCUACCAUAUUACAUUUGCAGAUGGCAUCAGCUGAGUGGUGCUGUUGUCACUCCUGAGGACAAGAUGCCAUCCAGAGGGACCUGGACAAGCUCAGGGAGUGAACCCAUGGGAACCUCAUGAGCCAAGUACUCAAGGUGAAGCACAAGGUGCUGCACCUGGGUUUGGAACAGCCCCCAGUGUCAGUCCAGGCUGGGAAUGAAGGUUUUGAGAGCACCCCAAAAAGGACUUGGUGGUGGUGGUGGAUGAGAGGCUGGACAUGACCCAGCCAUGAGCAUUCACAGCCCAGAGAGCCAAAACUGUCCUGGGCUGCAUCCAAAGCAGUGUGGGCAGCAGGGGAGGGAGGGGAUUGUGCCCCUCUGCUCUGCUCUGGUGAGACCCACCAGAGAAAGAAAAUAAAUUUCUUGUGAAGGUGGUGAGGCA
Molecule: long non-coding RNA, 1994 nt
Organism: Parus major (Great Tit)
Lineage: Eukaryota; Metazoa; Chordata; Aves; Passeriformes; Paridae
Source: Ensembl